Apis mellifera (honey bee) is the source of this 5424-nucleotide long non-coding RNA. RefSeq lists it as uncharacterized. The record is from RefSeq and is a predicted model, not a curated record. The transcript is spliced from 8 exons. Lineage: Eukaryota; Metazoa; Arthropoda; Insecta; Hymenoptera; Apidae.
UUCACAAUGUAAAUACAAUAUUUCACGUAAGUAACGCGAGCGAAACGAAGUAGGAGAAAUAAUAACAUUCGUUUGUUGAUAUUCGAUUUAUUAUUACGUAGAUCGAAAGUCGAAGUCGCUUCUUGUACACAGAACGGAACGGACGUGUUUCUCUCUGCUCCUCGACCGAAUAUUAUAUCGUAUUUAAUAAAUGAAUAAAGUGCAAAUAAUUAUAAAUAAAUUAAAUAUCAAUUGUAAAAAAAGUAAAGAAACGUAAUAAAAGAUCGAAUCGCCCGUUUCGCAACGAUAUAUAUAACAUAAUAUAUAAUAUACAAACAAUGUAAUACAUACAACACAUAAAUAAUAUAUUUUAACCAAAUAAUAAAUAAUUAAACUUAAUAUGCACGUAUGAAACGUUGAACAUUUAAUGGAUUAAGUCAAUUUAAUUUUUUGAAUCGUUAUAAACAAGAAUUUUCGAAUAAAUUUUUGUUACAUCAAGAUUGAAAAAGGAAGAAGAAGAAAAGAGGAACACACGCUUUCGAAUAAAAGGAAAAGAAAGCGUUUCUUUUUCGAAAGGAAGUUUUUUCCAGAUAUAUCACCGAUGGAUUUAAUUAAAAAUUUUGGAAACGAAAAAAAAAAAAGGAAGAAUCGUACACGUGGAACGAAUGGAAAAGAGCGUAGCGAAGGGAGGAAAGAAUCGAUCGAUCAUCAAUGUGCCGUACGACUUUUGAAACGCGUGGAUAUUUUAUGGUGGCAAACAAUGAUCCACUUUAAUAAAACCCUAAUUGCGAUUAAAUCGAUCGCCGUAGACAAAGGCUUUGAAAAAUGUUUAUGGAAGUGUGUAAUUUAUAAACGAUAAGUUAAUACGUUCAAAAUUUGUACAAUACAAUAGAAAUUACAUUCUUUUCAAGGAGAUUCAAAACAAACGAAACGAGGUUGUUUUAUUGGAGGAGGGGAGGGAGGGAAAAACGUGUAACGUUCCCCGCAUGAAAAGUGUGUAACACGAAAUGGAUUAAACGAGGGUGAGAUAAAUGGGAAAAGAAGAAACGGGGGAACAUAAAUCGAGCUGUUUUUAUCCCCGUUGGAUCAUCGAUGGAAGUACACGUCUCCUAUAAUCCAACCUAAAAUCCUCUCUUGUCCACCCUCUUUGCCCCAGCUUUUUUUACACGGCGUUCGAGCGUUGUUUCCUCGAUUAAAAUGACUCGCAGUACGAAUAUUUACAAAAUUCGAUCGCAAAUUAUUAAUCGAAUAGUUGAUCACUUUGAAAAUUCGAGAAGAUUUUUCUUUGUAGAAAAUCUAAUUCAAGUAACGAAGAUUAAAAAAAAAAAAGAAAAAUUAACAAACUUAAGUCGUUAAGGUUAAAGAAAUUAUUUAUGUCAUAAAUUAUUAAAUGUUCCCGUCGCUAUUAUAAAUAUAUUCUCUUUGAUUUUUCUCGUCACUGGAGAGAAUAUAAUCCAGCUCCGAAGUGGAAUGUUUUACGAGCAUGAGCUCGUGAAUACAGGCAUUUUCCGGUCGAAGAAUCUCGGAAUAAAAGACUUCUUUUCAUGGUCACCGAUGUCGUAAGUACCGGGUUUGCCGAUUCGGAACGGUGUCUCGAUUCCCAUAAAAUCACGACCGUGACCUUAAACGAGAUUAGGGGAGCCCGGUCCAGCCAUCUUUCUUCCCUCUUGUGAUCCAAGGGAAAAUGCUCGCGCCUGACCUAUGCCAAUCGAUCCUUGAACUCAAUGGAAUGCAGAGACAUUGGUUUAAUUUUUUCUUUUUUUCAGAUCUUUCGAGAUAUCUUUUUUUUUUGGGGACAGUUUUCUCAAAAGAAUUCAAUUUUUCUCUCUUCGCAUCAAGAUUUAUUAUUGCAAAGAAUUGUUGACUAAUUUUAUUUUAUUUUUUGACAAAUUGUUAUUUUUGGAACGUAAUAUUUUUCCAUUCGUGAAUAAUCUUCUCCACGUUGGUCAAGUAUCGUGCUCGCAAGAGGGAAUAUAAAGUCAAAUCUGAUUGAUUCAAUUGAUCGUAAACGAGGCGUAAUCCACGUUAAUCACCCAAAGGGUGCAACGAAACAAUAAACGUUGAACAAUCGUCAAUAAAGCGGUGAGAACUCGAAGUUUAACGAACAUCGUUCGUUCGAACCUUCUCUCUCUUUCUCUCUCUCUCUCUCGUCAACUCGUUAAACAAUCGUUUUGAUCCUGUUUUUUCCUGUUAAGGAUUCGAGAUUCGAGACGGCGAGGAGUAUUUCACGGUGCGACACGCGUCUUCACGAAGCGAACAUAUACAUGUUCCCUCCAUCUAGUAUCUAGGUUAAAUGGCCGGCCGUGAAAGGAGAAUGAUUAUUAGCGGUGAAUUUUCUCAACAGUACACCGAUCGAAGAUCAUUACCGGCGUGUAACGCGAAUCUUUUGCAAUUAUUUCGUGACAGCAAGGACAAUUUCACCUGGUUUCCUUUGCAACAAGGAAUCUCGAAAGCUCCAUCGUUAUUUACGUGUUAGGAAUCGCGGUUAAUCUCGUGAAAUCUUCGAUACUUCGAAAUGUUAUAUACGAUGUUAAUUCGGAUUCGAGAGAGGUAAUUAUUAUAGAAAUUGGCCAAUUGAGGGGAUUUCUAAGGGGAAGGAUUAUAGAUCAUAGUCAUAGUUAUAUUUUUAACUUUUACUGAAUUAUCGUUCAAUUCUUUUUUUUUUUUUUUUUUUCUAAUUCUGAUCAUCACGAGGCGAAAGUAUUAUUAAACGAUACGAGAUAUAACGUGGUAUUGCAUAGUAUAAUAAGUAUACUUUUUUCAAAUUGAAGAAUCUUUUUCACGUGAUGUGCACUCAAAUCUUAAUAUCUUUAUAUUUAUUAUAUACUUUUCUUUAGAAUUUAUAUUGUACUUUGAUAAAUGAAUUUAGUUUGCACAUUCUUGAAAAGGAUUCUCGUACUUUGUUUGUCAUUAUAAAAAUCGUUGACAAUUUUGACAAAUCUUCUCAAGAAUCUUCGAAUCUCAAUUUGAAUCACUCCAUACCUUGUAUACCCAUAAUCAUCAUCAAUAUCAUUUCCUUUCCCUUUAAACUCGAAAGAAAGAUUUUUCCCAAGGAAAAUUACGGCAUUUAACCAACGAUGUUCACGAUGACUGAUGCGAAUUUAAAACUGUCGUCCGUUUCCAGGAUCGAAGGAGUGUGCCUCUAAUCCCGAGAAAGAAAAGGCCAGUGUGGAAAAGGCGGAGAAGCAAAAGCCGAUAGAUCGACCCAGAAUUCGUCGCAGAGAUCGCGCGCAAUUUCUCAACUUGUCGUAGCUUUCCACCAACCAUCCGAUCCCGCCUGUAAAAACUCGUGACACGUGUAGGAUGGCUUAACGACUGUCCGCAAGAAAACCGCCGCUACGCAAUUACGCCGCGGCGCAAAAAUGGCCGAGCGGAGAGAAGAGGCGAGGUGAUCGAUCAGCACGAUGCAACGCGAAAUAAAACCAAACCGGUUACGUACACAACGUAUUUUCUAACCGACUUGCGGCGAAAACGCUUCACUCGAAUCGUUCGCCAGCUCAGAUGCAAAUUGAAUUUCAACUUUCCACGCGAGGAAGAAGAAGAAGAAGAAGAAGAAUUCGAACGAGAAUACUCCUCUUACACGCGACAAACGAAAUACCUUUCGUUCCAUUCUACGUUUCCACGCGAAACGGAGCAUCGAAUCGAUCCGAAGAAGCAUCCUUUAACCGAUACUCGAUAAGACAACGAGGUGAAACACGAUGAUGAUAUCACUAUCCAACACCUUGCGACGAAAUGAAACACGUCAAGGCCAUUCUCGGAAAUAUAAAAAAUUGACCAGAGGAUUCUCGUGUAGAUAAAAAGAUGCGUAAUUUAUAUCUGUCGUAUGAUACGACAGUGAAAGAGUCAAAAAUACACGCAUUCGUGAAAUACAAAUCGUCCCCCAGAGGAUCAAAAAUUUUGUAAUUUGUACGUGGCUGGAUUGUAAAAAAAAAAAAAAAAUAAAAAAAAAAAGUAAAACGUGUACGAGAUAUUGGCCCGCAGAGGAUCAGAAAUAUUUAUUGAGACGAUCAACAAUCUCAAAGCCUCGUUACUUCACACGCGAUUAACCAUGUUUCAUUAAAAAUCGAGCCAUCGAUCGAACUCAGCGACGAACUCUCAACGAGGAGUACGAGGGGGGCAAUCUUCCCGAAGAUUGUAUUUCCUAAUCGGCUGAUUGAACGAGAAAAAGAGAAAGAGAGAGAGAAAAGAAAAAGGAAAAACGAAAUGUAGCGAUGCCACGAAGCAAUCGUAACACCGGUCGAUUCUGUUACCACGACGAGACUGCGUGUGCAAGCGGUCGACAAACAGCCUUCGUCUCGUACUUUCUACCUUCGAGGCGAUCGAAGGCUCACGUUGCCGGAGACUCUCGCCUCGUCAUCAGACAAGUUAGAAAAAGAAAUCCUCGUGAUAAUCAGCACGAUGUCAAGGAGAAGCGACGAAAAAAGAGGAGAAAAACUGUUUGAGAUCAGAGUCUAAUUAACGAUGGGCAUACCGAUUUCGCAAACGCAAAUACGAGAAAUAUUCGACGAUAAAUUGCAGCUUUGCGUGGGCGUUACGAUUUCGUCAUGAACAUGAAUAACAUUCUCUUCUUUAAAAAAAGAAGAAGAAGAAAAAAGUUAUCGAUAUAAUUAAUAGAUUUUCUAAUUAUUAUUAUUACUAUUCAUUUAUGAAAUCUUGCCUUCACCCAGAUACUCAUUGACUCAUUUCACUGGCUGGAAUCAGUAUCAUUACGCGCUAUUCAUUUCGAAGAUAGAGGAUCGAGAGUCCGUUCGAGAUAUUGGCGGUAAAACGAUUCUUACAACGAUCUUGAUACGAUCUGCGAUACGUUUUGCAGUUUCGAAUUAAUUUCUCGGUGUUGAACGAAGAAGAAAAUCGUGACAAAGAAAAUCGCGACCAGAAGCCGUGGCUUGCCGUGGGUAUGCGAGGCGCAAACACAGCAUCGCGGGCAUGCAUUGGAACGGAACGUAACGGGCAUGACGGGAAAUACCGUACGUGUAUACACCUAUACCUGUGCGUGUAACUAUACGAGUGUGUACGUGUGCCGAGAAAGUGCAGUUGCAACUGCAGCUGACGCCUGCAACUGGCCAACGAACAAUUCCCACUGUUUCUAACGCCGGCUCCGUUACAAGAAAUUGCAGAAAUACCUUCCGACUCGAGGGCCAAAACUAUUUGAAGAUCGGCGGGAUGGAAAUUAAAAUUUUGGAUAUCAUUUUUUUUUAAUUUACGAAAAUUUUGCUGUUUGUUUUGAACAUUAUUAUUAAUUUGGAGGAAAUUAAAAGUUUUUGCAGUGGAUUAAGUUUAAUAAGGAGCACGAUAGAUAAAGAAUAUAUUUGAUAAUAAAUUAUUUGGAGAUUGGAUGUGGAAAAAUACUAUUGAAAUUGAUAUUGAAAUUUGUGAGAGAAUAAUUUUUUUAAUUAUGAAAAUGCCAUGUGACUAUGACAUAUCAAAAAUUAAUUAAAAACGAAA